RNAcentral lists this ribosomal RNA (460 nucleotides) under uncultured bacterium. RNAcentral's name for it is "SSU rRNA". It matches the Rfam family "Bacterial small subunit ribosomal RNA", at positions 26 to 518 of the family's 1533-position model. The record is from RNAcentral.
AGAAUCAACGCUGGCGGCGUGCCUAACACAUGCAAGUCGCACGAGAAAGGGGAGCAAUCCCCGAGUAAAGUGGCGCACGGGUGAGUAACACGUGAAUUAUCUACCUCCGAGUGGGGAAUAACUGAGAGAAAUCUUGGCUAAUACCGCAUAACACUUACGAGUCAAAGCAGCAAUGCGCUUGGAGAGGAGUUCGCGGCCGAUUAGCUAGUUGGCGGGGUAAUGGCCCACCAAGGCGAUGAUCGGUAUCCGGCCUGAGAGGGCGCACGGACACACUGGAACUGAAACACGGUCCAGACUCCUACGGGAGGCAGCAGUGGGGAAUUUUGCGCAAUGGGGGAAACCCUGACGCAGCAACGCCGCGUGGAGGAUGAAGCCCCUUGGGGUGUAAACUCCUUUCGAUCGGGAAGAUAAUGACGGUACCGAUAGAAGAAGCCCCGGCUAACUUCGUGCCAGCAGCCGC